This 500-nucleotide ribosomal RNA is filed under the name uncultured bacterium. RNAcentral describes it as "partial 16S ribosomal RNA". It matches the Rfam family "Bacterial small subunit ribosomal RNA", at positions 30 to 523 of the family's 1533-position model. The record is from RNAcentral.
AUUGAACGCUGGCGGCAUGCCUUACACAUGCAAGUCGAACGGCAGCACGGGAGCAAUCCUGGUGGCGAGUGGCGAACGGGUGAGUAAUGUAUCGGAACGUGCCCAGUCGUGGGGGAUAACGCAGCGAAAGCUGUGCUAAUACCGCAUACGAUCUAUGGAUGAAAGCGGGGGAUCGCAAGACCUCGCGCGAUUGGAGCGGCUGAUAUCAGAUUAGCUAGUUGGUGGGGUAAAAGCUUACCAAGGCGACGAUCUGUAGCUGGUCUGAGAGGACGACCAGCCACACUGGAACUGAGACACGGUCCAGACUCCUACGGGAGGCAGCAGGGGGGAAUUUUGGACAAUGGGCGCAAGCCUGAUCCAGCAAUGCCGCGUGCAGGAUGAAGGCCUUCGGGUUGUAAACUGCUUUUGUACGGAGCGAAAAGGCUCUCUCUAAUACAGGGGGCUUAUGACGGUACCGUAAGAAUAAGCACCGGCUAACUACGUGCCAGCCGCCGCGGUAA